Molecule: small RNA, 101 nt
Filed under: Marmota monax (woodchuck)
Lineage: Eukaryota; Metazoa; Chordata; Mammalia; Rodentia; Sciuridae
Source: RNAcentral
GCCAGGCAUGGUGGUGCAUGCCUGUAAUCCCAGUGGCUUGGCAGGCUGAGGCAGGAGGAUGGCAAAGUCAGCCUCAGCAACUUAGCGAGACCCUGUCUAAA